GCUAGCGUUGUUCGGAAUUACUGGGCGUAAAGCGCACGCAGGCGGCGCAUUAAGUCAGGGGUGAAAGGCCUGGGCUCAACCCAGGAACUGCCUUUGAGACUGAUGCGCUCGAGUCCGGAAGAGGGUAGUGGAAUUUCCAGUGUAGAGGUGAAAUUCGUAGAUACUGGAAAGAACACCGGUGGCGAAGGCGGCUACCUGGUCCGGUACUGACGCUCAAGUGCGAAAGCGUGGGGAGCAAACAGGAUUGGAUACCCUGGUAGUCCACGCCGUAAACGAUGAGUGCUAGAUGUCGGGAGGUUUACCUCUCGGUGUCGGAGCUAACGCGUUAAGCACUCCGCCUGGGGAGUCCGACCGCAAGGUUAAAACUCAAAGGAAUUGACGGGGGCCCGCACAAGCGGUGGAGCAUGUGGUU
RNAcentral lists this ribosomal RNA (412 nucleotides) under uncultured bacterium 1204-15l. Its description in RNAcentral is "bacterial SSU rRNA". It matches the Rfam family "Bacterial small subunit ribosomal RNA", at positions 534 to 946 of the family's 1533-position model. Lineage: Bacteria; Pseudomonadati; Pseudomonadota; Alphaproteobacteria. The record is from RNAcentral.